RNAcentral lists this transfer RNA (63 nucleotides) under Bathymodiolus aduloides. RNAcentral's name for it is "tRNA-Tyr". The record is from RNAcentral. Lineage: Eukaryota; Metazoa; Mollusca; Bivalvia; Mytilida; Modiolidae.
UUUUAGGUCGGUUUGUAGAAACAUUAGUUUGUACUACUAAUUAUGCCAAAUGGCACUAAAAAG